CCUGCUCUGCGGCGACUGUCCGGCUCGUGAGCUCCGCGUGGAUCCGGCGCUGGGCCCCCUACGCUCUGGGGACCUGGGGUUGUGUUUCCGGCAAAGGAUGUUUUCCGAGAAGGCCUGGGAGCGGCUGUAAAUAAUACCCGAGAGGAAAUAGGCCCGGCAGGUGUUUUUGCGCGUCCCGGCGUUGGGUGUGGCUGCGGCGGGCGUGCAGGCCGCAGAUGAGGAAACAGACUAGGAGGGAUUUAGGCAUCUGGACUCUGCGGGGCGGCCCGGGCGCGCAGCCCGUUUCCCUGUGGGUUGAGGGCGCGGGAGAAGUGGGCGGCCCACCCCACCCCGCGCGUGGAUGCGGGGCUGGGGCAGGUCCGCGGUGGAGGCGCCGCCAGUGAGCACCCGGGGACCGCUCCUAGCCCCCAGUGUGGGACACAGACUCCCUGAGGACCUCGUAUGCGUUGGGUCUGUGGCUCCAUCCGAAUCUUCAUGAACAGGGCCUGCGGUGAAUUUGGGGAGAAGUGCUGGGAUUAAGGUGUGAGCUACCGUGGUAGAGAUGGGGUUUCGUCAUUUUGGCCAGGUUGGUCUCAAACUACUGACCUCAAGUGAUCCACCCGCCUUAGGCUCCCAAAGUGCUGGGAUUACAGACAUGAGCCACCGCCCGGCUUAGUAUUUUUUUUUUUCUGAGCCUCUUCCUCCUUCCACUCAAUGCAUCUAUUUUAGUGGAAUGGGUUCCUUUGUGAACAAUGAUGUUGCAGUUAUUCAUGAAGUAAUAAAGUGUUUGUGUAUUGAUU
RNAcentral lists this long non-coding RNA (779 nucleotides) under Homo sapiens (human). RNAcentral's name for it is "HSALNT0356116". Lineage: Eukaryota; Metazoa; Chordata; Mammalia; Primates; Hominidae. The record is from RNAcentral.